UCCGUGCCCGUCCACCGAACGGCCGGCAGGCGAUCCGCGUGGUCGCGCGAGGUGGGAUGGUUCCCAAGAGGCUGGUUCUUGUGUUGCCUACCCCUUCGAGGGAAGCGCUCCACUCGACGGUUAAGCCUCCAUCCGGCGCCUUCCAAUGGGCGCAGGAGGACAACGGAGCACCCCCCGCGUUCCACCGGGCCGUCGUAGGUCGCGUGGCCCGCGGGGACGUGCGACGCUCUCGGACCCAGCGCACGCCGUGGGCGAGGACUCACGUCCCAGUCCCAAGAGAAGCUUCGGCAUAAUGUUGACGGCCGCCCCCGCCCCCCGACCGCCCCGGCGGCGCGGGGGCGAGGCGCGGCGUCGCGGAGGGAUGCUACCU
This 370-nucleotide unclassified non-coding RNA is filed under the name Acacia synchronicia. RNAcentral's name for it is "partial external transcribed spacer". The record is from RNAcentral. Lineage: Eukaryota; Viridiplantae; Streptophyta; Magnoliopsida; Fabales; Fabaceae.